RNAcentral lists this ribosomal RNA (253 nucleotides) under uncultured bacterium. Its description in RNAcentral is "partial 16S ribosomal RNA". It matches the Rfam family "Bacterial small subunit ribosomal RNA", at positions 524 to 776 of the family's 1533-position model. The record is from RNAcentral.
UACGGGGGGAGCAAGCGUUGUCCGGAAUUAUUGGGCGUAAAGAGCGUGUAGGCGGCCCGAUUAGUCCGCUGUGAAAGUCCAGGGCUCAACCCUGGAAUGCCGGUGGAUACUGUCGGGCUAGAGUCCGGAAGGGGCGAGUGGAAUUCCUGGUGUAGCGGUGAAAUGCGCAGAUAUCAGGAGGAACACCAAUGGCGAAGGCAGCUCGCUGGGACGUGACUGACGCUGAGACGCGAAAGCGUGGGGAGCAAACAGG